CCAGACAUGGCUUGGCUAUCCUUGGAG
This 27-nucleotide small RNA is filed under the name Bombyx mori (domestic silkworm). Its description in RNAcentral is "ovarian small RNA-13557". The record is from RNAcentral. Lineage: Eukaryota; Metazoa; Arthropoda; Insecta; Lepidoptera; Bombycidae.